GCCGCACAAGCCGACGGGUUGAGGCAUCUGCCUUCCGAGCAGAAGGACGGGGUUCGAGUCCCCGGUGCGGCU
This 72-nucleotide transfer RNA is filed under the name Actinocorallia herbida. It matches the Rfam family "tRNA". From Rfam's summary of the family: Transfer RNA (tRNA) molecules are approximately 80 nucleotides in length. Their secondary structure includes four short double-helical elements and three loops (D, anti-codon, and T loops). Further hydrogen bonds mediate the characteristic L-shaped molecular structure. tRNAs have two regions of fundamental functional importance: the anti-codon, which is responsible for specific mRNA codon recognition, and the 3' end, to which the tRNAs corresponding amino acid is attached (by aminoacyl-tRNA synthetases). tRNAs cope with the degeneracy of the genetic code in two manners: having more than one tRNA (with a specific anti-codon) for a particular amino acid; and 'wobble' base-pairing, i.e. permitting non-standard base-pairing at the 3rd anti-codon position. Lineage: Bacteria; Bacillati; Actinomycetota; Actinomycetes; Streptosporangiales; Thermomonosporaceae. The record is from Rfam by way of RNAcentral.